UACUUUUUGGUUAAGUGGGAUAAAUUGAUUUUUCUGGGAGGAAUUGGUAAAGGGUUCGAACCCGCUCAGGGUAA
Meloidogyne enterolobii is the source of this 74-nucleotide non-coding RNA. The record is from the annotation of a GenBank genome assembly. Lineage: Eukaryota; Metazoa; Nematoda; Chromadorea; Rhabditida; Meloidogynidae.